RNAcentral lists this ribosomal RNA (496 nucleotides) under uncultured bacterium. RNAcentral describes it as "partial 16S ribosomal RNA". It matches the Rfam family "Bacterial small subunit ribosomal RNA", at positions 28 to 506 of the family's 1533-position model. The record is from RNAcentral.
GAUGAACGCUGGCGGCGUGCCUAAUACAUGCAAGUCGAGCGAACAGACGAGGAGCUUGCUCCUCUGACGUUAGCGGCGGACGGGUGAGUAACACGUGGAUAACCUACCUAUAAGACUGGGAUAACUUCGGGAAACCGGAGCUAAUACCGGAUAAUAUAUUGAACCGCAUGGUUCAAUAGUGAAAGACGGUUUUGCUGUCACUUAUAGAUGGAUCCGCGCCGCAUUAGCUAGUUGGUAAGGUAACGGCUUACCAAGGCGACGAUGCGUAGCCGACCUGAGAGGGUGAUCGGCCACACUGGAAAUGAGACACGGUCCAGACUCCUACGGGAGGCAGCAGUAGGGAAUCUUCCGCAAUGGGCGAAAGCCUGACGGAGCAACGCCGCGUGAGUGAUGAAGGUCUGCGGAUCGUAAAACUCUGUUAUUAGGGAAGAACAAAUGUGUAAGUAACUAUGCACGUCUUGACGGUACCUAAUCAGAAAGCCACGGCUAACUACGU